ACAGACUCUUUGAACUGACAAAUACAUUAAAAACAGCAUUUGUCCCCAGUGAAGACAACAAGCGCCUUACGCACAACAUUGUUACAGCAGUAGCAGUCUCAAGCGUUAUAUACUCCUUAUCUUUCAUAUUCCUAAAAGUUCCUCAGAUGUUGGUUUGAGAAUUCAAUCAUGUAAAUACAGUAUAGAAGGCUGCUGGGUUCUGUAAAAGUUCUUGAACACAUAGAAGAGUACUGUUCCACUGCAAGAGUUGUCUCCAUAACAAAAACCGAGAAAUGGAUUCUUCUGCAGCCUGUCACUUGGUUACUAAGGGAAAAAUCAGAUCUUGGUAAUAGUAAUAUAUUUUGGGUCAUUUUGUAUAUGAAAAGUGGUAAUGGAUAUAGCCUCCAACCCAGGGGUGGUUCUUGUCACGUUUUAACAUUAUCCUACCCACUACAGUAAAAUGAUUAUAAGUGUAAUAUACUAGUAUAUCAAAUGUGACUCAAGACUUGUUUUCAUUGGAUUAAUUUGUAUUGUCAAGAGCAUGUGAUUUUUACUUUUACUGGCUUUAGGCAAUAUAAACUGAAUUGGCACUACAUUGGGUCUCCUUCAGGUUAACCAUGUAUCAUAUCAUGCCAUGUUUAUUUUGGACC
Quercus lobata is the source of this 629-nucleotide long non-coding RNA. RefSeq lists it as uncharacterized. The transcript has 2 exons. The record is from RefSeq and is a predicted model, not a curated record. Lineage: Eukaryota; Viridiplantae; Streptophyta; Magnoliopsida; Fagales; Fagaceae.